Molecule: RNA transcript, 2863 nt
Organism: Lycium barbarum (goji berry)
Lineage: Eukaryota; Viridiplantae; Streptophyta; Magnoliopsida; Solanales; Solanaceae
Exons: 5
Source: RefSeq, a predicted model, not a curated record
ACCUAUAACCAUAAUCCUAUUUCUCUCUCUCUCAUUCAUUAUACGAUUAAAAAAAAAACCCCUAAUCUCACCCAUCACCUCUCCUCUCCUUUUUCCAACGAUUUCAAGAAGACAAAAUAGACUUUCCAACUCGUUUUUGAAGGAUUAAAGGAAUAGCUCACAAGGUUAGUUCUCUAUUCAAAGUUGAAAAUGACUAUUUAAUGUUGUGGGUGGGGUUUAAUGUGGUGCGUGAAAAAUUUGUCUAUGUGGGUUUCAUAGCCAUGUGGGUUUCACGUUUUUUGUCUGUGUAAAGGUGUAAAAGUAUUGUUUAACGUGAAAAGUUUCAUUCUUUUUAUGAUUUUGUUCGUCUCUUUUGUGGUCUUAAUUCUAAUUUUAGGGUAUUUUAUUCACAUUUUUGUCUCUAUAAAUGGUGUAAAGGUAGUGUUUAAUAUGUAAAGUUUCUUUCUUUUUAUGAUUUUGUUCCUCUCUUUUAUUAUCCUGAAAUGUAUUGUCAAUUUAGAGUAUUUUAUUUAUUGUUUUUGUAUUUCCUAUGAAUGUUGCUGAUGUGGUCCCUCGUUUUUUCCUUUGUCCUUUUCUUUGCAUGUGAACUUUAUUGAAGAAUGAUAGAUAAAAAAAAGUGUUAUCAAACUAUGGGGUUGAAUGGGUCUUUUCUCCUUAAUUAUUAUAUAAUAAGAAUCUGAUACAUGUUUUGCAUGGGUUUGACCCAGAUCUGUUGUCUUAUGAAGACUUAUGUGAAGAGUUCAAAAAAGAGAUGAUUUUUUUUCAAGUUAAACAACUCUUAGUUGCCGGAUAGGUACUACAUAAUUGAUGGAGAUGAUGUUAUAGGGAUUUGCAGUACCUUAAUUAUUAUGAGUUUAGUAAGAUUAACUUGUUUGUUGUACAUGUUACUGAUUUAACAGUCCAUACUAAUUUUGAUGUUGCUUUUCCAUCUGAUGUUGAGUAUGAUGAAAAAGAACUUGAGGUUUUUAGUAACCAAAGGAGGAGGGUAGUAAGUGAUAGGUUGAAGAAUUAUAAGAAACUGGAAAAGGGUAUGACAUUUUCUGAUAUUGUGGAAGCUAAAAUAAUAAUGAAUUACUAUGCAAUGGUUAAUGGGUAUGGCUUGAAGAUUGAAAAAACAGAUACCACUAGGGCUAGGUAUGUUUGUAAAGCUGGAUGUCCUUUUAGAUGUUCUAUUUCAUAGGAUUAAAAAAGUUCAACUUUCAGUAUCAAAACCUUGAAGCCAAAGCAUGAUUGUGAUCCAUGUUAUAAAAAUCCAAGGGCUGAUUCUAAGACAUUAGCAUAAUACUUUAUGAGAAAAGUACAGACAAUCCCACAUACACUAUUAAGGAUAUGAGAGGGGAGAUGGAAAAUGAUUUCAAUUUGAAUAUAAGCUUAAAAGGACUAAGUUUAUUAUCCUUGAGAAGUUAGAUGGCAGUUUCAAGGAUGAUUUUAACAAGCUUGAAGAUAUGGGGUUGAAUUAAACUAGUCUAAUCCAGGGACUGAUGUUGCAAUCCAGAUUUCAAAAGAUGCUUUUGAGCAAGGUUAAAAGAGGUUCUUGAGGAUGUACUUGUGUUUUAGUACUUUGAAGCUAGGUUGGAAAAGUGACCUGAGACCAUUUAUUGGUUUGGAUAGUGCUUUCUUGAAGGGUAAAGUCAAAGGUCAGUUGUUGGUUGCGAUGGGAUAGGAUUCUAUGAACCAAUUCUACCCAAUUGAUUGGACAGUGGUUGACUAGGAAACCACCAGAACAUGGUCAUGGUUUGUGGAACUUUUGAAGAGGCUUUUGGACUUAAAAGAUGGGACUGGAGUGACCUUUAUUUCUGACAUGCAAAAGCUAGUUAGAGGAGUACAAUUCUGGAGAGUUGAACCUGCGCAUGCAAUGGAGUCACCUGAAAUAGUCAAAGCAGUUGGAAGACCCAAAAUGAAGAGAAAUAGAACACAGAUGAAGCAAAAAAGAGGAAGGAUGAAUGAAGUGCAUUAAGGAAGAGAUCUAUUAUGACAUGAAGUAAAUGUGGAGAAAAAAAUCACAAUGCAAGGGGUUGUCACAAGGUACAGAUACACAGGACGACGGAUCUACUCCAUAGGACCACCCUCGCAUCAGCUUUUGUUACAGAUACACAGGAUAACGGAUCUACUCCAUAGGACCACCCACGCAUCAACUUUUGAGAGAAAAGGCUGGACAGAUUCCAAAGAAGGGGAAGGGGAAGGGCAAGGAAAAAGUUAGCCAGACCUUAAAUGGACCUCAACAAUCUGGCAACACCUUAAGAAGCAACUGUUAUGAACCUGAAUUUUGUACAAACAAAUCUCAACAGUCAGGCUUUGAAACUCAAAUUGGUACUCAACAAUCAAUAGCUUAUGGACCAGAUAUUGGUGAUGACGAAGACCUAACAUUGAGGCCAAAAGUCAUAUCUAAAGCUGAUACAUUGUUGUCCAUGAGAAAGACAAGAAUGAGGCCACCAACUAGUGGUAGAAGAAUUCAAUUCAUUGGAGAUGCAAGUGGAGUGUCAGCUCCAACGAACUUGCCUUAUUCACCAACAAAGAUGACUUGGAGGGAAAAUGAAACUGUUACAUCCAUCCAGUUACAAGAUGAAGUCAAAAACAAUGUAUCAAGAUGAAGGCAAGAAAGAGGCAAGGAGAAUCAGCCCCUGAUGAUUGUGACAUUUGAAUAUUGUUUAUUUUGUGAUGCCUAGACAUUUCAAACAUCCUAGAAUUUAGAGGUUAAAGUUGUUAACAGUUGAUUUAUGUUAUUAAAAUUAGUUCAACCUUUAAAGUUAGCAUUCAUAUGUUAAGUAUGUUCUUAGUAAAGUUAAGUAUUUUGUGAAUGAUAGCGAAUUAUGUUAAGUAUGUUGUUAAUGAAGCCUUGUGUUAUGGAAUUGAUGCUUCAAUC